CACACACUGAAAAAGGGAUCUGUACAAACACAUCUUUUUAUUUUUUUGCUCAUCUCUCUAUCUUCCUCACUAUAUAUACACAUUUUUCACUUUCUUGAUCUCUUUUUCUCUCUCUAUAUCUCAAGAAAAUUACUCUUAACUGGACCUUUUUUGACUCGAUCAAUAUUCAAGAAAGCUGCUUUUUGGGUGGUUUGAAAUUGGUUUGUGCUAACUCAAUUGAAAAAAAGUGGAGCUUUUGGGAGAAAGUUUGUAGCUUUGGGAUUUGUAUCAAGUUUUUGGAUUGACUCAGAUUUGAAUCUAUGCUAAAGAUCUUUUAAGCUGCAGAACAUGUGGUGGUUGUGAUACGGACA
This is a non-coding RNA of Nicotiana tabacum (common tobacco), 350 nucleotides long. NCBI's taxonomy places the organism in Eukaryota, Viridiplantae, Streptophyta, Magnoliopsida, Solanales, Solanaceae. The record is from RefSeq and is a predicted model, not a curated record.